CAGGGCUUGACAUGCAAUUGCACCGCCCGUCAUGGGGCGUCCCUUCGGGGCGGUUGCACAGGUGCUGCAUGGCUGUCGUCAGCUCGUGUCGUGAGAUGUUGGGUUCAGUCCCGCAACGAGCGCAACCCCUGCCGCUAGUUAGGAUGUCUAGCGGGACCGCCGCGAUCAACGCGGAGGAAGGCGGGGAUGACGUCAAGUCAGCACGGCCCUUACGUCCUGGGCUACACACACGCUACAAUGGUCGGUACAACGGGCUGCCAACCCGCAAGGGGGAGCCAAUCCCAGCAAAACCGGCCUCAGUUCAGAUUGCAGGCUGCAACCCGCCUGCAUGAAGGAGGAGUCGCUAGUAACCGUGGGUCAGCACACUACGGUGAAUACGUUCCC
Molecule: ribosomal RNA, 384 nt
Filed under: uncultured bacterium
Lineage: Bacteria
Description: bacterial SSU rRNA
Rfam family: Bacterial small subunit ribosomal RNA
Source: RNAcentral